RNAcentral lists this ribosomal RNA (468 nucleotides) under uncultured bacterium. RNAcentral describes it as "partial 16S ribosomal RNA". It matches the Rfam family "Bacterial small subunit ribosomal RNA", at positions 28 to 507 of the family's 1533-position model. The record is from RNAcentral.
GACGAACGCUGGCGGCGUGCUUAACACAUGCAAGUCGAACGGAAAGGCCCUGCUUUUGUGGGGUGCUCGAGUGGCGAACGGGUGAGUAACACGUGAGUAACCUGCCCUUGACUUUGGGAUAACUUCAGGAAACUGGGGCUAAUACCGGAUAGGAGCUCCUGCUGCAUGGUGGGGGUUGGAAAGUUUCGGCGGUUGGGGAUGGACUCGCGGCUUAUCAGCUUGUUGGUGGGGUAGUGGCUUACCAAGGCUUUGACGGGUAGCCGGCCUGAGAGGGUGACCGGGCACAAUGGGAAUGAGGGACGGCCCAGACUCCUACGGGAGGCAGCAGGGGGGAAUAUUGGACAAUGGGCGGAAGCCUGAUGCAGCAACGCCGGGGGCGGGAUGACGGGCUUUGGGGUGUAAACCGCUUUCGCCUGUGACGAAGCGGGAGUGACGGUAAUGGGUAAAGAAGCACCGGCUAACUACGUG